GUGCCUUUCAUCUCUCACCAUGAUUCCGAGGCCUCCCCAGUCAUGUGGAACUGUAUGAUAGUUCUGAAUGAAUAUUGAAGCUGUUCCGUAGUUCUGAGGGUUAUCAUACCACUGAGAGUAAAAGAUGAAGUAUCACUCUGUCUCCCAGACUGGAGUGCAGUGGCACAAUCUCUGCUCAGCACAAGCUCCACCUCCUGGGUUCAUACCAUUCUCCUGCCUCAGCCUCCCAAGUACCUGAGACUACAGG
Long non-coding RNA from Symphalangus syndactylus (siamang), 247 nucleotides. RefSeq lists it as uncharacterized. NCBI's taxonomy places the organism in Eukaryota, Metazoa, Chordata, Mammalia, Primates, Hylobatidae. The record is from RefSeq and is a predicted model, not a curated record.